Molecule: ribosomal RNA, 620 nt
Filed under: uncultured bacterium
Lineage: Bacteria
Description: bacterial SSU rRNA
Rfam family: Bacterial small subunit ribosomal RNA
Source: RNAcentral
CCUACGGGAGGCAGCAGUGGGGAAUUUUGGACAAUGGGGGCGAACCCUGAUCCAGCAAUGCCGCGUGAGUGAAGAAGGCCCUCGGGUUGUAAAGCUCUUUUGUCAGGGAAGAAACGGUGGUUCCUAAUACGAGCUGCUAAUGACGGUACCUGAAGAAUAAGCACCGGCUAACUACGUGCCAGCAGCCGCGGUAAUACGUAGGGUGCAAGCGUUAAUCGGAAUUACUGGGCGUAAAGCGUGCGCAGGCGGUUAUAUAAGACAGAGGUGAAAUCCCCGGGCUCAACCCGGGAACUGCCUUUGUGACUGUAUGGCUAGAGUGUGUCAGAGGGGGGUUAGAAUUCCACGUGUAGCAGUGAAAUGCGUAGAUAUGUGGAGGAAUACCGAUGGCGAAGGCAGCCCCCUGGGAUAACACUGACGCUCAUGCACGAAAGCGUGGGGAGCAAACAGGAUUAGAUACCCUGGUAGUCCACGCCCUAAACGAUGUCUACUAGUUGUCGGUACUUAUUGUCUUAGGUAACGCAGCUACGCGUGAGUAGACCGCCGUGGAGGUACGGUCGCGAGAGUAAACUACAAUAGAGUAGACGCGUGAGACGUGCGACGGACGACGACGAGGGAGGAGG